GGAAUAUUGGACAAUGGGCGAAAGCCUGAUCCAGCAAUGCCGCGUGUGUGAAGAAGGCCUGCGGGUUGUAAAGCACUUUUGUGGGGGAAGAGGGGCUGGUACGUUAAUAGCGUACGAGUCUGACGGUACCACACGCAUAAGCCACGGCUAACUCCGUUCCAGCAGCCGCGGUAAUACGGAUGGUGCGAGCGUUAAUCGGAAUUACUGAGCGUAAAGCGCGCGUAGGCGGCUGAUCAAGUCCGAUGUGAAAGCCCCGGGCUCAACCCGGGAAUGGCGUUGGAGACUGGUCGGCUAGAGUGCGACAGAGGGUGGUGGAAUUCCCGGUGUAGCGGUGAAAUGCGUAGAUAUCGGGAGGAACAUCGAUGGCGAAGGCAGCCACCUGGGUCGACACUGACGCUGAGGUGCGAAAGCGUGGGGAGCAAAC
RNAcentral lists this ribosomal RNA (424 nucleotides) under uncultured bacterium. Its description in RNAcentral is "bacterial SSU rRNA". It matches the Rfam family "Bacterial small subunit ribosomal RNA", at positions 358 to 773 of the family's 1533-position model. The record is from RNAcentral.